This is a long non-coding RNA of Pongo pygmaeus (Bornean orangutan), 1673 nucleotides long. RefSeq lists it as uncharacterized. Lineage: Eukaryota; Metazoa; Chordata; Mammalia; Primates; Hominidae. The record is from RefSeq and is a predicted model, not a curated record. The transcript is spliced from 3 exons.
GACUGCUCGAAGGGGUGGGAGGAACAGUAUAAAGUCCUGUCCCCCUCUUGCCUUCAAGGGCACCCCUGAAGGACCAUAUCCACUGUGAUCCCCUUGGGAUCAGCCGAGGUUUGUAGAGGUGACAUCGCAGCCCAGCGCCUCCCUCCGCCCUCCCCUCCUCUGCCCUCCUUCCACAUGUGUGGCCAUGGGCACUGCCCAGUUGACCUGUGACCCCCAGCUGAGGCUGCUUCCUGGGCAGCUGACUUCGAUUUGUGACCUGAGCUCUCCAGGCCCCCGAGCGGCUGGUGCCUUGGCCCUGCAGUUCUGCAGCCGAGACCUCUCCUCUGGGAUCUCGUCUUACCCUGCUGCGGGCACCAGGGCUGCAUGAAGCAAGGGUGAAAGUCCCCUCCGCCCGGGCUCUGCUCUCUGCCUGCUGGCCCCUGUGCUCCUGUUCCCCGUGGCUGCCCAGGGACAGGUGUGUGGGAUGGAGGAGGAGGGAGAGGCUGAGUCCUCCCCAGUGGACCCCCAGAUGCAGACCCUGAGGCAAGGGAGAGUGAGAAAGUGAAGGAAAGAACACAGCUGGAAAUGCAACCAAGAAUGAACCCCAGCCCGGGCCACUGUGAGCAAAGAGAGCCAAGCCCCGGGGAGCCCUGGGACAGUGUGGGAGUGGAGGCCUGGGGCGCCUCCGGGCAAGGCAGCGGGAUGUCUGUGCCGUAAGCCCUGCCAGUCGUGGAUGGAGACGCACAUUUUAGUGUGGGCUCCAGAGACAGAGGGAGCCCCAGGCCGAGAGCUGUGGGUGCUGGGCAGGUGGGCAUUGGCCAGCGUGGCCCCCACUCAGGGCGGGUCCACCUUAAUUCGACGGGUGUGACACUCUCCUCACACAUGUGCACAUUCAAGAGGGACUCGAAGGAAUUGGGUCAUGAGACACAGCCGAGCCUGUGAGUGCUGACCUGUGUAAAGAAGAUGCCAGAAUGAGACGUCUCCACACACAGAGAGCUGCAGCCGAUGCCGGCUGGCGACUUGGGACUUGGAUGCUUAACGGGAGGCUCCCCCUCCCUUGGGAGGUAGAGAGCAGUGAGGAAGGGGAAUCAGCCUCCAUGCCUCCCGCCAGCCCAGCUGCGCCCGAAUCACCUCCCUCCUGAAAGGACGUCAGCCUCUGCUUGGACACUGUGGAGACAGGGCCCUCCUUGUGCUUCAGAAGCAUCAACGUGUCAGAAAAUCAUCUUAACGCCAAGUCUGGAAAAAGUGGCUUUGAGGUUGUGCACACAAAGGAAGGACGGAGAGCCCCAGGUGUCGCCGAGGACCGUGUGGCUGACAGAGCCAGCAGGGCGGUGGCGUGUGAGCCGUGCUCUGGAUAUGUAAAGAUCUGAGGCUGCUGGCAAUGUCUGAGCUCUGCGCUCACCCAUCUGUCGGCCGCUAUCAUCACCGGGUGGGAUUAGUGGAGAUUUCUCUAUGAUCCACUCUUUCAUAUUUAAAUCUUCACAAGAGAAUGAAUCACUUUUAUAAUAAAAGAAAAAGACUGUCCAUGUUGUUAAUGUGCACGCAGCAAGUUGGAAGGCCGGGGAGGGCAGCGGGUGGGAACGCUGACCCAGGUGCCCCCCUGCAGCCUGGAACAGCCCCAGGCCUGCUCCACUGUCCCCUCGGGGUUCCCUGUCAAAGAGUCCAAAGAGUGGAGGGGCUGGUGCGUAGAGGGU